This 500-nucleotide ribosomal RNA is filed under the name uncultured bacterium. RNAcentral describes it as "partial 16S ribosomal RNA". It matches the Rfam family "Bacterial small subunit ribosomal RNA", at positions 30 to 523 of the family's 1533-position model. The record is from RNAcentral.
AUUGAACGCUGGCGGCAUGCCUUACACAUGCAAGUCGAACGGCAGCACGGGCUUCGGUCUGGUGGCGAGUGGCGAACGGGUGAGUAAUGUAUCGGAACGUACCUUAGAGUGGGGGAUAACGUAGCGAAAGUUACGCUAAUACCGCAUAUUCUGUGCGCAGGAAAGCAGGGGAUCGCAAGACCUUGUGCUCUUUGAGCGGCCGAUAUCAGAUUAGCUAGUUGGUGAGGUAAAAGCUCACCAAGGCGACGAUCUGUAGCGGGUCUGAGAGGAUGAUCCGCCACACUGGAACUGAGACACGGUCCAGACUCCGACGGGAGGCAGCAGUGGGGAAUUUUGGACAAUGGGGGCAACCCUGAUCCAGCCAUGCUGCGUGAGUGAAGAAGGCCUUCGGGUUGUAAAGCUCUUUCAGCCGGGAAGAAAUCGCAUAGGUUAAUACCCUGUGCGGAUGACGGUACCGGAAUAAGAAGCACCGGCUAACUACGUGCCAGCCGCCGCCGUAA